Molecule: non-coding RNA, 182 nt
Filed under: Gammaproteobacteria bacterium
Lineage: Bacteria; Pseudomonadati; Pseudomonadota; Gammaproteobacteria
Description: 6S RNA
Rfam family: 6S / SsrS RNA
About the family: E. coli 6S RNA was the first non coding RNA to be sequenced, but its function was unknown until recently. It consists of 184 nucleotides that fold into an extended hairpin structure with a large single-stranded internal bulge.
Source: RNAcentral
UAUCUUCUGCAGUGUUCGUUAACAGGCUGGUGGUAACUUGAGCCUACUCUACAUUACCAAGGGAAACUGAUUUGUGGCAUUGUGUGCACAUCCAUUCGUGGGGAGCCUGAUAUGUCGCAGUUACUUCCCACUUGAACUCACGGUUCAAGUUCUGAGGUUUGUAGCGACACUGCGGUUGGUGC